Molecule: ribosomal RNA, 465 nt
Filed under: uncultured Klebsiella sp.
Lineage: Bacteria; Pseudomonadati; Pseudomonadota; Gammaproteobacteria; Enterobacterales; Enterobacteriaceae
Description: bacterial SSU rRNA
Rfam family: Bacterial small subunit ribosomal RNA
Source: RNAcentral
CCUACGGGUGGCUGCAGUGGGGAAUAUUGCACAAUGGGCGCAAGCCUGAUGCAGCCAUGCCGCGUGUGUGAAGAAGGCCUUCGGGUUGUAAAGCACUUUCAGCGGGGAGGAAGGCGGUGAGGUUAAUAACCUCAUCGAUUGACGUUACCCGCAGAAGAAGCACCGGCUAACUCCGUGCCAGCAGCCGCGGUAAUACGGAGGGUGCAAGCGUUAAUCGGAAUUACUGGGCGUAAAGCGCACGCAGGCGGUCUGUCAAGUCGGAUGUGAAAUCCCCGGGCUCAACCUGGGAACUGCAUUCGAAACUGGCAGGCUAGAGUCUUGUAGAGGGGGGUAGAAUUCCAGGUGUAGCGGUGAAAUGCGUAGAGAUCUGGAGGAACACCAGUGGCGAAGGCGACUCUCUGGUCUGUAACUGACGCUGAGGAGCGAAAGCGUGGGGAGCGAACAGGAUUAGAUACCCCAGUAGUC